Molecule: ribosomal RNA, 442 nt
Filed under: Acinetobacter sp.
Lineage: Bacteria; Pseudomonadati; Pseudomonadota; Gammaproteobacteria; Moraxellales; Moraxellaceae
Description: bacterial SSU rRNA
Rfam family: Bacterial small subunit ribosomal RNA
Source: RNAcentral
UAGCUUGCUACCUAACCUAGCGGCGGACGGGUGAGUAAUGCUUAGGAAUCUGCCAUUUAGUGGGGGACAACAUUCCGAAAGGAAUGCUAAUACCGCAUACGUCCUACGGGAGAAAGCAGGGGAUCUUCGGACCUUGCGCUAAAUGAUGAGCCUAAGUCGGAUUAGCUAGUUGGUGGGGUAAAGGCCUACCAAGGCGACGAUCUGUAGCGGGUCUGAGAGGAUGAUCCGCCACACUGGGACUGAGACACGGCCCAGACUCCUACGGGAGGCAGCAGUGGGGAAUAUUGGACAAUGGGCGGAAGCCUGAUCCAGCCAUGCCGCGUGUGUGAAGAAGGCCUUUUGGUUGUAAAGCACUUUAAGCGAGGAGGAGGCUACUAGUACUAAUACUACUGGAUAGUGGACGUUACUCGCAGAAUAAGCACCGGCUAACUCUGUGCCAGCA